This 578-nucleotide ribosomal RNA is filed under the name uncultured bacterium. Its description in RNAcentral is "bacterial SSU rRNA". It matches the Rfam family "Bacterial small subunit ribosomal RNA", at positions 704 to 1280 of the family's 1533-position model. The record is from RNAcentral.
GAACACCGGUGGCGAAGGCGGGUCUCUGGGCAGUAACUGACGCUGAGGAGCGAAAGCGUGGGGAGCGAACAGGAUUAGAUACCCUGGUAGUCCACGCCGUAAACGGUGGGUACUAGGUGUGGGUUUCCUUCCUUGGGAUCCGUGCCGUAGCUAACGCAUUAAGUACCCCGCCUGGGGAGUACGGCCGCAAGGCUAAGACUCAAAGAAAUUGACGGGGGCCCGCACAAGCGGCGGAGCAUGUGGAUUAAUUCGAUGCAACGCGAAGAACCUUACCUGGGUUUGACAUGCACAGGACGCCGGCAGAGAUGUCGGUUCCCUUGUGGCCUGUGUGCAGGUGGUGCAUGGCUGUCGUCAGCUCGUGUCGUGAGAUGUUGGGUUAAGUCCCGCAACGAGCGCAACCCUUGUCUCAUGUUGCCAGCGGGUAAUGCCGGGGACUCGUGAGAGACUGCCGGGGUCAACUGCGGAGGAACGGUGGGAUGACGUCAAGUCAUCAUGCCCCUUAUGUCCAGGGCUUCACACAUGCUACAAUGGCCGGUACAAAGGGCUGCGAUGCCGCGAGGUUAAGCGAAUCCUUUUAA